AACGAACGCUGGCGGCGCGCCUAAUACAUGCAAGUCGAGCGAGAAAGUGUAGCAAUACACUUGUAAAGCGGCGAACGGGUGAGGAAUACAUGGGUAAUCUACCAUCGAGUGGGGAAUAACCAACCGAAAGGUUGGCUAAUACCGCGUACGCCUCCGAGUCUUCGGGUUCGGAGGGAAAGCUGCACUGUGAGUGUAGCGCUCUUUGAUGAGCUCAUGUCCUAUCAGCUUGUUGGUAGGGUAAUGGCCUACCAAGGCUUUGACGGGUAGCUGGUCUGAGAGGACGAUCAGCCACACUGGCACUGCGACACGGGCCAGACUCCUACGGGAGGCAGCAGUAAGGAAUAUUGCGCAAUGGGCGAAAGCCUGACGCAGCGACGCCGCGUGGGGGGAUGAAGGUCUUCGGAUUGUAAACCCCUUUCGGGAGGGAAGAUGGAGCGAGCAAUCGUUCGGACGGUACCUCCAGAAGCAGCCACGGCCAACUCGUACCAGCAGCC
Molecule: ribosomal RNA, 494 nt
Filed under: uncultured bacterium
Lineage: Bacteria
Description: bacterial SSU rRNA
Rfam family: Bacterial small subunit ribosomal RNA
Source: RNAcentral